AUGUUGAUCUGUUUAACUGGUGGCAGUUUUGCAAAUGUCAUCACACCAGUCCAGACUGAGGUUUAUAAGAAAGAGGGAGAAAAUGUUACUCUGUCCUGUAGCUACUCCUCAGCGUCUACACUGCAGUGGUAUCUCCAAUAUCCCGGAUCAGCUCCUGAAUUUCUUAUGCUUAUUCUACACUCUACCGGAAAGGUUUCACAAAUGUCAGAAAUUGUGGAUCGAGAUCCUCGAUUCUCUGGGAAAGUGAAUGAAGAGAAAACCCAUGUGGAUCUGGAGAUCUCCUCUGCUAAACUGACAGAUUCUGCUCUGUACUACUGUGCCCUGACGCCCACAGUGACAGGAAACACAACAACACUGUACAAAAACCCUCCCAACAGUGAUACUGUAGUUGAAUGUACCAUACACUGCACAUCUUCAUAA
Sinocyclocheilus grahami is the source of this 420-nucleotide non-coding RNA. Lineage: Eukaryota; Metazoa; Chordata; Actinopteri; Cypriniformes; Cyprinidae. The record is from the annotation of a RefSeq genome assembly.